RNAcentral lists this non-coding RNA (89 nucleotides) under unclassified sequences. RNAcentral describes it as "c-di-GMP sequence". It matches the Rfam family "c-di-GMP-II-GAG riboswitch aptamer". The record is from Rfam by way of RNAcentral.
UCUCGGGGGAGAGUCCCACCAGCGCGGCGUCCCAAUACGGUCGCCACGACCGUCGCGCUGGGCCAAUGGCGAGACCGACCCUUCCGAGA